This is a non-coding RNA of Pelobates cultripes (western spadefoot toad), 309 nucleotides long. The record is from the annotation of a GenBank genome assembly. NCBI's taxonomy places the organism in Eukaryota, Metazoa, Chordata, Amphibia, Anura, Pelobatidae.
GCAUGCACCACCGCCAUGUUGUCCGAGAAAAAGACCACUUUCUGAUCCCGGAGCCCCUCGCCCCAUAGUGCCAUUGCAACGACCAACGGGAAUAAUUCCAGAUAAGCCAGGUUGCGCAUGACCGGGCUAGACCCCCAUGCCUCCGGCCACCGCUCCGCGCACCAUCUCCCGCCAAAGUAGGCCCCGAAGCCCACACUACCUGAAGCAUCCGUGAAGAGCUCCAACUCCGUCGCCGACUUACCCGCCCGCCUGAAAAACACCGUCCCGUUGAAAUCCUGCAGGAAGGCAUCCCACACGCCCAAAUCAGCC